RNAcentral lists this microRNA precursor (117 nucleotides) under Rosa chinensis. Its description in RNAcentral is "sRNA RchiOBHm_Chr1g0362771". It matches the Rfam family "mir-172 microRNA precursor family". From Rfam's summary of the family: mir-172 has been experimentally verified in Arabidopsis thaliana. This family is thought to target mRNAs coding for APETALA2-like transcription factors. The mature sequence is excised from the 3' arm of the hairpin. The record is from Rfam by way of RNAcentral. Lineage: Eukaryota; Viridiplantae; Streptophyta; Magnoliopsida; Rosales; Rosaceae.
UUGUUUGCUGGUGCAGCAUCAUCCAGAUUCACAAGUGUUAAUAUUGACAUCAUCAUUUGAAUCUUGAGAUGUCUUGAUCGGAGUUGAGAAUCUUGAUGAUGCUGCAUCAGCCAUAUA